RNAcentral lists this long non-coding RNA (278 nucleotides) under Anser brachyrhynchus (Pink-footed goose). RNAcentral's name for it is "lncRNA (ENSABRG00000003585.1)". Lineage: Eukaryota; Metazoa; Chordata; Aves; Anseriformes; Anatidae. The record is from RNAcentral.
AAACCUUGAAGACAGGACAAAUCUCCUGUUCUGUUGGUUGUUCAUCCUGAAAGCGGGAGGGAGAUGGAUCUCCUGUCUGCCCACAGGAUCCAUUGCCUUUGGAGUACUGGAUUUCAAGACUUUAAUGUUAUACUAAACCGAAAGGCUUAUGCUGAGGGAGGCAAUGGCAUCAACAAGAGCCAUUCUGACAGGCAGAAAGUCAGCAAGCCAAAAAAUAAAGUAAUAAAUUCUGUUUUAACUUUUCUAAAGAGUGUGUGUGUGUAGGGGGUGGGGGUGGG